UCGCGGAUCAGCAUGCCGCGGUGAAUACGUUCCCGGGGAUUGUACACACCGCCCGUCACACCAUGAGAGUCGGGAACAUCCAAAGUCCGUAGUCUAACCGCAAGGAGGACGCGGCCUAAGGUGGGUUCGAUAAUUGGGGUGAAGUCGUAACAAGGUAGC
RNAcentral lists this ribosomal RNA (159 nucleotides) under uncultured bacterium. RNAcentral describes it as "partial 16S ribosomal RNA". It matches the Rfam family "Bacterial small subunit ribosomal RNA", at positions 1342 to 1500 of the family's 1533-position model. The record is from RNAcentral.